Molecule: ribosomal RNA, 1343 nt
Filed under: uncultured bacterium
Lineage: Bacteria
Description: 16S ribosomal RNA
Rfam family: Bacterial small subunit ribosomal RNA
Source: RNAcentral
GACGAACGCUGGCGGCGUGCUUAACACAUGCAAGUCGAACGGAAAGGCCCUGCUUUUGUGGGGUGCUCGAGUGGCGAACGGGUGAGUAACACGUGAGUAACCUGCCCUUGACUUUGGGAUAACUUCAGGAAACUGGGGCUAAUACCGGAUAGGAGCUCCUGCUGCAUGGUGGGGGUUGGAAAGUUUCGGCGGUUGGGGAUGGACUCGCGGCUUAUCAGCUUGUUGGUGGGGUAGUGGCUUACCAAGGCUUUGACGGGUAGCCGGCCUGAGAGGGUGACCGGCCACAUUGGGACUGAGAUACGGCCCAGACUCCUACGGGAGGCAGCAGUGGGGAAUAUUGCACAAUGGGCGGAAGCCUGAUGCAGCAACGCCGCGUGCAGGAUGACGGCCUUCGGGUUGUAAACCGCUUUCGCCUGUGACGAAGCGUGAGUGACGGUGAUGGGUAAAGAAGCACCGGCUAACUACGUGCCAGCAGCCGCGGUGAUACGUAGGGUGCGAGCGUUGUCCGGAUUUAUUGGGCGUAAAGGGCUCGUAGGUGGUUGAUCGCGUCGGAGGUGUAAUCUUGGGGCUUAACCCUGAGCGUGCUUUCGAUACGGGUUGACUUGAGGAAGGUAGGGGAGAAUGGAAUUCCUGGUGGAGCGGUGGAAUGCGCGGAUAUCAGGAGGAACACCAGUGGCGAAGGCGGUUCUCUGGGCCUUUCCUGACGCUGAGGAGCGAAAGCGUGGGGAGCGAACAGGCUUAGAUACCCUGGUAGUCCACGCUGUAAACGGUGGGUACUAGGUGUGGGGUCCAUUCCACGGGUUCCGUGCCGUAGCUAACGCUUUAAGUACCCCGCCUGGGGAGUACGGCCGCAAGGCUAAAACUCAAAGGAAUUGACGGGGCCCCGCACAAGCGGCGGAGCAUGCGGAUUAAUUCGAUGCAACGCGUAGAACCUUACCUGGGUUUGACAUGGAUCGGGAGUGCUCAGAGAUGGGUGUGCCUCUUUUGGGGUCGGUUCACAGGUGGUGCAUGGCUGUCGUCAGCUCGUGUCGUGAGAUGUUGGGUUAAGUCCCGCAACGAGCGCAACCCUUGUACACUGUUGCCAGCACGUUAUGGUGGGGACUCAGUGGAGACCGCCGGGGUCAACUCGGAGGAAGGUGGGGAUGACGUCAAGUCAUCAUGCCCCUUAUGUCCAGGGCUUCACGCAUGCUACAAUGGCUGGUACAGAGAGUGGCGAGCCUGUGAGGGUGAGCGAAUCUCGGAAAGCCGGUCUCAGUUCGGAUUGGGGUCUGCAACUCGACCUCAUGAAGUCGGAGUCGCUAGUAAUCGCAGAUCAGCAACGCUGCGGUGAAUACGUUCCCGGG